Molecule: ribosomal RNA, 433 nt
Filed under: uncultured bacterium
Lineage: Bacteria
Description: partial 16S ribosomal RNA
Rfam family: Bacterial small subunit ribosomal RNA
Source: RNAcentral
AACGAACGCUGGCGGCUUGCCUAACACAUGCGAGUCGAACGAGACCUUCGGGUCUAGUGGCGCACGGGUGCGUAACGCGUGGGAACCUGCCCUUAGGUUCGGAAUAACUCCCCGAAAGGGGUGCUAAUACCGGAUAAUGUCUUCGGACCAAAGAUUUAUCGCCUUUGGAUGGGCCCGCGUUGGAUUAGCUAGUUGGUAGGGUAAAAGCCUACCAAGGCGACGAUCCAUAGCUGGUCUGAGAGGAUGAUCAGCCACACUGGGACUGAGACACGGCCCAGACUCCUACGGGAGGAAGCAGUGGGGAAUAUUGGACAAUGGGCGAAAGCCUGAUCCAGCAAUGCCGCGUGAGUGAUGAAGGCCUUAGGGUUGUAAAGCUCUUUUAACCGGGAUGAUAAUGACAGUACCGGGAGAAUAAGCUCCGGCUAACUCCGUG